Molecule: ribosomal RNA, 348 nt
Filed under: Exechia frigida
Lineage: Eukaryota; Metazoa; Arthropoda; Insecta; Diptera; Mycetophilidae
Description: partial 16S ribosomal RNA
Source: RNAcentral
AAAGGCUGCGGUAUUUUGACCGUACAAAGGUAGCAUAAUCAUUAGUUUUUUAAUUGAAAACUCGUAUGAAUGGUUUAACGAAAUAUUAGCUGUUUCAUAAAAAUAAUAGUAGAAAUUAAUUUUUUAGUUAAAAAGCUAAAAUGUAAUUAAAAGACGAGAAGACCCUAUAGAGUUUUAUAUUAAAAUUUUUAAAGUUUAUUUAGAAUAAUUUAAAUUUUAUUUUUAUUUAUAUUUUGUUGGGGUGACAAUAAAAUUUUAAUACCUUUUAUUUUUUAUUAAACAAUGAUUUUUGAAUAAUUGAUCCACUUUUAGUGAUUAUAAGAUUAAAUUACCUUAGGGAUAACAGCG